Molecule: ribosomal RNA, 468 nt
Filed under: uncultured bacterium
Lineage: Bacteria
Description: partial 16S ribosomal RNA
Rfam family: Bacterial small subunit ribosomal RNA
Source: RNAcentral
GACGAACGCUGGCGGCGUGCUUAACACAUGCAAGUCGAACGGAAAGGCCCUGCUUUUGUGGGGUGCUCGAGUGGCGAACGGGUGAGUAACACGUUAGUAACCUGCCCUUUACUUUUGGAUAACUUCAGGAAACUGGGGCUAAUACCGGAUAGGAGCUCCUGCUGCAUGGUGUGGGUUGUAAAGUUUCGGCGGUUGGGGAUGGACUCGCGGCUUAUCAGCUUGUUGGUGGGGUAGUGGCUUACCAAGGCUUUGACGGGUAGCCGGACUGAGAGGGUGACCGGCCACAUAGGGACUGAGAUACGGCCCAGACUCCUACGGGAGGCAGCAGUGGGGAAUAUUGAACAAGGGGCGGAAGCCUGAUGCAGCAACGCCGCGUGCGGGAUGACGGCCUUAGGGGUGUAAACCGCUUUCGCCUGUGACGAAGCGUGAGUGACGGUAAUGGGUAAAGAAGCACCGGCUAACUACGUG